CGCAGGGUAGAGCAGUUGGAAGCUUGUCGGGCUCAUAACCCGAAGGUCGUAGGUUCGAGUCCUACCCCUGCUA
RNAcentral lists this transfer RNA (73 nucleotides) under Treponema sp. Its description in RNAcentral is "tRNA-Met". It matches the Rfam family "tRNA". Rfam says of the family: Transfer RNA (tRNA) molecules are approximately 80 nucleotides in length. Their secondary structure includes four short double-helical elements and three loops (D, anti-codon, and T loops). Lineage: Bacteria; Pseudomonadati; Spirochaetota; Spirochaetia; Treponematales; Treponemataceae. The record is from RNAcentral.